Molecule: ribosomal RNA, 496 nt
Filed under: uncultured bacterium
Lineage: Bacteria
Description: partial 16S ribosomal RNA
Rfam family: Bacterial small subunit ribosomal RNA
Source: RNAcentral
GACGAACGCUGGCGGCGUGCCUAAUACAUGCAAGUUGAGCGCUGAAGGUUGGUACUUGUACCCACUGGAUGAGCAGCGAACGGGUGAGUAACGCGUGGGGAAUCUGCCUUUGAGCGGGGGACAACAUAUGGAAACGAAUGCUAAUACCGCAUAAAAACUUUAAACACAAGUUUUAAGCUUGAAAGAUGCAAUUGCAUCACUCAAAGAUGAUCCCGCGUUGUAUUAGCUAGUUGGUGAGGUAAAGGCUCACCAAGGCGAUGAUACAUAGCCGACCUGCGAGGGUGAUCGGCCACAUUGGGACUGAGACACGGCCCGAACUCCUACGGGAGGCAGCAGUGGGAAUCUUCGGCAAUGGACGAAAGUCUGACCGAGCAACGCCGCGUGAGUGAAGAAGGUUUUCGGAUCGUAAAAAUCUGUUGGUAGAGAAGAACGUUGGUGAGAGUGGAAAGCUCAUCAAGUGACGGUAACUACCCAGAAAGGGACGGCUAACUACGUG